This 682-nucleotide ribosomal RNA is filed under the name uncultured Arcobacter sp. RNAcentral describes it as "bacterial SSU rRNA". It matches the Rfam family "Bacterial small subunit ribosomal RNA", at positions 97 to 801 of the family's 1533-position model. The record is from RNAcentral. Lineage: Bacteria; Pseudomonadati; Campylobacterota; Epsilonproteobacteria; Campylobacterales; Arcobacteraceae.
GGCGGACGGGUGAGUAAUAUAUAGGUAAUGUGCCCUAGAGAGGGGGAUAACAGUUGGAAACGACUGCUAACACCCCAUAUGCCUUUAAGACAAAAGUCUGCAAGGGAAAUAUUUAUAGCUCUAGGAUCGGCCUGUACGGUAUCAGCUAGUUGGUGAGGUAAUGGCUCACCAAGGCAAUGACGCCUAACUGGUUUGAGAGGAUGAUCAGUCACACUGGAACUGAGACACGGUCCAGACUCCUACGGGAGGCAGCAGUGGGGAAUAUUGCACAAUGGGGGAAACCCUGAUGCAGCAACGCCGCGUGGAGGAUGACACAUUUCGGUGCGUAAAUUCCUUUUAUAUAGGAAGAUAAUGACGGUACUAUAUGAAUAAGCGCCGGCUAACUCCGUGCCAGCAGCCGCGGUAAUACGGAGGGCGCAAGCGUUACUCGGAAUCACUGGGCGUAAAGAGCGUGUAGGCGGGUUAAUAAGUUUGAAGUGAAAUCCUAUGGCUCAACCAUAGAACUGCUUUGAAAACUGUUAACCUAGAAUAUGGGAGAGGUAGAUGGAAUUUCUGGUGUAGGGGUAAAAUCCGUAGAGAUCAGAAGGAAUACCGAUUGCGAAGGCGAUCUACUGGAACAUUAUUGACGCUGAGACGCGAAAGCGUGGGGAGCAACGGAUUAGAUACCCUGGUAGUCCACGCC